This 75-nucleotide small RNA is filed under the name Lacinutrix sp. 5H-3-7-4. RNAcentral describes it as "Flavo-1 RNA". It matches the Rfam family "Flavo-1 RNA". Lineage: Bacteria; Pseudomonadati; Bacteroidota; Flavobacteriia; Flavobacteriales; Flavobacteriaceae. The record is from Rfam by way of RNAcentral.
GUGAAGCGCGUUAAGGAUUGAUGCGGCAUCCUUUUGCUUUUUUUGCAAAAGAUAUAGCGGAAAGCCUGACCAAUA